GUAAAUAAUAAAGGGCGUAUGGUGGAUGCCUAGGCUCUCAGAGGCGAUGAAGGACGUGAUAAGCUGCGAAAAGCUCCGUUUAGGUGCAAAUAACCUUUGAUGCGGAGAUCUCCGAAUGGGAUAACCCAAUAUGUUGAAGACAUAUUAUACCGUAAGGUAGGCAAACGCAGGGAACUGAAACAUCUAAGUACCUGCAGGAGAAGAAAACAAACGUGAUUCCCCCAGUAGCGGCGAGCGACCGGGGAUAAGCCCAAACCGUUAUUGUUUCGGCAGUAGCGGGGUAGUAGGACUGCGACAUUGAUGAAAUAAAUGAAAUGGAACACCUUGGAAAAUGUGAUCACAGAGGGUGAUAAUCCCGUACAUGUAAGUUUAUGAAUCAUAGCAGACUCCUGAGUAAGUCGGGACACGUGUAAUCCUGACCGAAUCCGCCGGGACCAUCCGGCAAGGCUAAAUACUCCUGAGAGACCGAUAGUGAACCAGUACCGUGAGGGAAAGGUGAAAAGCACUUCGAACAGAAGAGUGAAAUAGUCCCUGAACCCAUACGCCUACAAGCAGUCGGAGCCGCUUCGUGCGGUGACGGCGUGCCUUUUGCAUAAUGAGCCUACGAGUUACUCAUCACCAGCGAGGUUAAGUACUUCAGGUACGUAAGCCGAAGCGAAAGCGAGUCUGAAUAGGGCGUCAAGUUGGUGGUGGUAGACGCGAAACCUUAGUGAUCUACCCAUGGGCAGGGUGAAGGUUUGGUAACACAAACUGGAGGCCCGAACCGGUAAACGUUGAAAAGUUUUCGGAUGACCUGUGGGUAGGGGUGAAAGGCCAAUCAAACUGGGAAAUAGCUCGUACUCUCCGAAAUGCAUUUAGGUGCAGCCUCUGUUGUUUUGUUCUAGAGGUAGAGCUACUGAUUGGAUGCGAGGGCUUCACCGCCUAUCAAAUCCGGCCAAACUCCGAAUGCUAGAACAUAAAGACAGGGAGUGAGCCAGCGGGUGCUAAGGUCCGUUGACGAAAGAGGGAGAACUCAGACCAUCAGCUAAGGUCCCCAAUUAUAUGCUAAGUUGGAAUAAAAACGGGGUGGGACUGCUUAGACAGCUAGGAUGUUGGCUUGGAAGCAGCCAUUCAUUUAAAGAGUGCGUAACAGCUCACUAGUCGAGCGGUCCUGCAUGGAUAAUACGCGGGCAUAAGCAUAUAACCGAAGCUAUGGGAUUGUAGAUGAUACAAUCGGUAGGAGAGCAUUCCAUUCAGCAUAGAAGCAGUAUCGUGAGGUAUUGUGGAGCGGAUGGAAAAGCAAAUGUAGGCAUAAGUAACGAUAAUGCGGGUGAGAACCCCGCACGCCGAAAGAUCAAGGAUUCCCCGGCAAUGUCAAUCAUCCGGGGGUAAGUCGGAUCCUAAGGGUAAGCCGAGUGGCGAUCCCGAUGGUAAACAGGUUAAUAUUCCUGUACUGAUCAUAACUGCGAUGCAGCGACGCAGAGGUGACACUGCUGCGUACUGACGGAAUAGUACGUUGAAACCCGUAUUCUUUGAUACCGGUAGUGAAGCACGCCGGUAGAGAUGAAAGGUGAUAGUACCGCAAUGCUUCGGUUGCGCGGAUAACGCAGGUAAGCUGACUGCCAAGAAAACCUGCUAAGCUUCAGGUAAUGAUCAUCCGUACUGUAAACGGACACACGUGAUCAGGUAGAAAAUACUAAGGCGCUCGAGAGAUUCAUGGUUAAGGAACUAGGCAAAAUGGUCCUGUAACUUCGGGAUAAAGGACGCUCUUGUGAAAGAGCCGCAGAUAAUAGGCCCAGGCGACUGUUUACCAAAAACACAUGGCUAUGCUAAUUCGCAAGAAGAUGUAUAUGGCCUGACACCUGCCCGGUGCCGGAAGGUUAAGAGGAGAGCUCAGAGGUAACUCGAAGGUUUGAAUUGAAGCCCCGGUAAACGGCGGCCGUAACUAUAACGGUCCUAAGGUAGCGAAAUUCCUUGUCGGGUAAGUUCCGACCUGCACGAAUGGUGUAACGAUCUGGGUACUGUCUCAACCAUGAGCUCGGUGAAAUUGUAGUUCCGGUGAAGAUGCCGGAUACCCGCAACGGGACGGAAAGACCCCGUGAACCUUUACUGCAGCUUUGCAUUGAUUUUGGGUAACAGAUGUGUAGGAUAGGUCGGAGGCUUUGAUGCUGCGUCGUCAGGCGUAGAGUAGCCGUCGUUGAAAUACGACCCUUUUGUUAUCUGAGGUCUAAUCCCGUUAGGGAGACAUUGCAUGGUGGGUAGUUUGACUGGGGUGGUCGCCUCCAAAAGUGUAACGGAGGCUUCUAA
RNAcentral lists this ribosomal RNA (2286 nucleotides) under human gut metagenome. RNAcentral describes it as "bacterial LSU rRNA". It matches the Rfam family "Bacterial large subunit ribosomal RNA", at positions 1 to 2313 of the family's 2925-position model. The record is from RNAcentral.